Molecule: ribosomal RNA, 755 nt
Filed under: uncultured cyanobacterium
Lineage: Bacteria; Bacillati; Cyanobacteriota
Description: bacterial SSU rRNA
Rfam family: Bacterial small subunit ribosomal RNA
Source: RNAcentral
AGAGUUUGAUCAUGGCUCAGGAUGAACGCUGGCGGUCUGCUUAACACAUGCAAGUCGAACGGAGUAGAAAUACUUAGUGGCGGACGGGUGAGUAACGCGUGAGAAUCUGCCUUCAGGACGGAGACAACAGUUGGAAACGACUGCUAAGCCCCGAUGAACCGAAAGGGAAAAUAUUUAUAGCCUGAAGAUGAGCUCGCGUCCGAUUAGCUAGUUGGCGGAGUAAAAGCCCACCAAGGCGACGAUCGGUAGCUGGUCUGAGAGGACGAUCAGCCACACUGGGACUGAGACACGGCCCAGACUCCUGCGGGAGGCAGCAGUGGGGAAUUUUCCGCAAUGGGCGAAAGCCUGACGGAGCAAGACCGCGUGGGGGAAGAAGGCUCUUGGGUUGUAAACCCCUUUUCUCUGGGAAGAAAGUUGUGAAAGCAACCUGACGGUACCAGAGGAAUCAGCAUCGGCUAACUCCGUGCCAGCAGCCGCGGUAAGACGGAGGAUGCAAGCGUUAUCCGGAAUGAUUGGGCGUAAAGCGUCCGCAGGUGGCAGUUCAAGUCUGCUGUCAAAGACCGGGGCUUAACUUCGGAAAGGCAGUGGAAACUGAACAGCUAGAGUAUGGUAGGGGCAGAGGGAAUUCCUGGUGUAGCGGUGAAAUGCGUAGAGAUCAGGAAGAACAUCGGUGGCGAAGGCGCUCUGCUGGACCAUAACUGACACUCAGGGACGAAAGCUAGGGGAGCGAAUGGGAUUAGAUACCCCCGUAGUCC